AAACCAACAGGGAUUGCCUUAGUAACGGCGAGUGAAGCGGCAACAGCUCAAAUUUGAAAUCUGGCCCUUUCAGGGUCCGAGUUGUAAUUUGUAGAGGAUGCUUUUGGGCAGCCACCGGUCUAAGUUCCUUGGAACAGGACGUCACAGAGGGUGAGAAUCCCGUACGUGGCCGGCAGGCACCCUUUGCAAAGCUCCUUCGACGAGUCGGGUUGUUUGGGAAUGCAGCCCUAAAUGGGAGGUAAAUUUCUUCUAAAGCUAAAUACCGGCCAGAGACCGAUAGCGCACAAGUAGAGUGAUCGAAAGAUGAAAAGCACUUUGGAAAGAGAGUUAAAAAGCACGUGAAAUUGUUGAAAGGGAAGCGCUUGCGAUCAGUCUCGACGGCGGCCGCUCCCCCGGUCUUCUGACCGGGUCACUCGGCCGCCGCCGGGCCAGCAUCGGUUCCGGCGGUCGGAGAAAGGUUGCGGGAAUGUAGCUCCCCCGGGAGUGUUAUAGCCCGCGGCGCAAUACGGCCAGCUGGGACCGAGGUCCGCGCUUCGGCUAGGAUGCUGGCGAAAUGGUCGUAAGCGGC
This 568-nucleotide ribosomal RNA is filed under the name uncultured fungus. RNAcentral describes it as "eukaryotic LSU rRNA". It matches the Rfam family "Eukaryotic large subunit ribosomal RNA", at positions 62 to 648 of the family's 3401-position model. Lineage: Eukaryota; Fungi. The record is from RNAcentral.